This 432-nucleotide long non-coding RNA is filed under the name Vigna radiata. RNAcentral describes it as "long non-coding RNA (VRAD_LNC006255)". The record is from RNAcentral. Lineage: Eukaryota; Viridiplantae; Streptophyta; Magnoliopsida; Fabales; Fabaceae.
GGUGGUUUAUGAUAUUUAGGUUUAUUCUAUCUUAACCAAUGGAAAGGAAAACUUGGAUGUUCUUUUCCUUUCAGUAAAAUUGUAUGUUUGGUUGUAGCUUGGAGCAAGAAGAGUUAUAGUAAACCAAGUUUAUAUUUGGUUCUUUGUCAUAUUAGUAAACUAGAAGGCUUUUGAGGAUGACGGUUCCAUUGGUGCCCCUUUCUUUAAAUGUGUUUUCGUGACUUCAUUACAUAUCUUCAUUCAUGGUCUUACAUAUGAUAUCACUUUACACUUCAAGAUCUAUUGUUCUGAAUCUUCUUCAAUAAUCUUUUUAUGUCACCAUUGUCACUAACGACAAAAUAGUCAUAGAGGGCACCGUAGGAUACGCGUGUGAGACUUAUGUUGUUGCAAUUCCUAGUUGAACCCACGCCUCUUAAGGUGCCCUCAAUUUCC